AUAUCAUAUAGUUGAUAAAAGAUUAAAAAUACAAUUAAAAAAAUAAUCUACGUGAUUAUCUCAUUAGAUUAUUUGUUAACGGAUAUUGUUAAGAAAUUUUGACCACUCAAAAUUUAAAUCCUAAAAAAGGAAAUUAAAAAGUUUGCUAAUAGUUGAUAUGGAAAAGGGUCUCUUAGAUAAGGACUCAGGCAGAGAAUCCUUCAGCUUCAGCCACAACAUGGACUGUAUUUUCUCUAGAAAUGAAAAGAGUCGGUUAUCUUGUAGGGCCUAUGAUUACUGUCACUUUGUCACAGUAUUUUUUACAGAUAAUUUCAAUGGUGAUGGUUGGUCACUUGGGUAAACUUGCUCUCUCUAGCACAGCCAUUGCCAUCUCUCUCUGUGCUGUAUCUGGCUUCAGCCUUAUUUUUGCAAUGUCAUGUGCACUGGAAACUCAAUGUGGGCAAGCAUACGGAGCACAUCAAUAUCGAAAAUUUGGUGUUCAAAUGUACACUGCUAUUGUCUCUCUUACUUUAGCCUGUCUUCCUUUGAGUCCUUUGUGGGUAUACUUGGGGAAGAUACUCAUUUUUCUUGGCCAAGACCCUUUGAUUUCUCAAGAAGCUGGAAAAUUUGCUUUGUGCAUGACCCCUGCUCUCUUUGAUUAUGCAACACUUCAGGCCUUGGUUCGAUACUUUCUGAUGCAAAGUUUGACCCCCCUUGUCAUAAGUUCCUCCAUUACUCUUUGCUUCCAUGUAGCUUUCUGUUGGCUACUGGUUUUUAAAUUUGGAUUUGGUAACUUAGGAGCAGCAUUUUUUAUUGGUACUUCAUACUGGCUGAACGUGAUUUUACUUGUAUUAUACAUGAAAUUCUCUAUUGAAUGUAAAAAGACUUGGGUACCAAUUUCAACGGAACUAUUCCAUGGCAUUGGGGAGUUCUUCCGCUGUGCUAUUCCUUCAGCUGGAAUGAUUUGCCUUGAAUGGUGGUCAUUUGAGUUACUAUUCUUGCUUUCUGGUCUUCUACCAAAUCCAGAACUUGAAACUUCAGUCUUAUCCAUAUGUUUAUCAGUCACCACAACAAUCUACACAAUCCCAGAAGCAAUUGGCUCAGCAGCAAGCACUAGAGUUUCAAAUGCAUUAGGUGGUGGAAGUCCACAAUUGGCACAAGUGUCUGUUUCUGCUGCUAUGACUCUUGCAGCAUCCGCGGCCAUUCUGGUGAGCUCAAUCAUAUUUGCUUGCAGGCAGGUUGUAGGUUAUGCAUUUAGCAAUGAGCUGGACGUGGUGGAUUAUUUCACAGAAAUGGUUCCUCUUUUAAGUAUAUCUGUUAUACUGGACACCUUACAUGAUACCCUCUCAGGUAUUGCUAGAGGAUGUGGGUGGCAGCACAGAGGAGCAUAUGUAAACCUUGACGCUUAUUAUGUUGUGGGAAUUCCAAUUGCUGCUAUAUUGGGUUUCUGCCUACAAUUAAGAGGAAAAGGCCUUUGGAUUGGAAUACUGACUGGUGCCUUCUGCCAAACAGUUAUGGUAUCCCUCAUUACAAGUUGUACAAACUGGGAAAAACAGGUUUGCCUCCACUUCCAAGUCCAUGCUUUGCACUUGGCACAGUCCUAAAACACCAUGUUCACAAUGUUAUAUUUUCUCAUAUAUCAAACCAAACCCUUUGAAUUGAAUGUUUAAACUAGAGAAAUUGUUUUGACAGUCAAAGAAAAGUAGUAUCUUAACUCAUGCAAUCUUAUUAAGAUUCAGUUUUGGACAUGCACUACUAGCCUGUUUUUUUAGAGAACACAUGUACUACUGACUGAAAUGUACUCAUUGCUCAAGUGUCCUGAGAAAGGCAAUUAAAGCAUGGGAAAGGAUAUUUCAGAGAAAUUUUGCUGUAGAAGAUGGAUUAGUUUUAGCAAAUGGAGAAGAUUCCUUAAAUCUGUCAGCUUCUUUUGUUGGUAUUGGUAAAUCGUUUAGCUUUGGUGGCAGAAAAGAUCAAAUUUUAGAGUUAGAGGAGGAAAAGGUUCUCAUGACAAGACAUUUGUAAUGAUAUUGAUUUGUUCUUUUUUCUCAAUCCAAUUUUGGUUAAGGUUCUGUAACGUGAAGUAAAAGCAAUUGGAUUAAUUCACGAGCAGCACUUCAAUUUCCAAUAA
This is an RNA transcript of Glycine soja, 2107 nucleotides long. It is a transcript of the gene named protein DETOXIFICATION 14-like, with no coding region annotated. The record is from RefSeq and is a predicted model, not a curated record. The transcript has 7 exons. Lineage: Eukaryota; Viridiplantae; Streptophyta; Magnoliopsida; Fabales; Fabaceae.